Long non-coding RNA from Camelus dromedarius (Arabian camel), 541 nucleotides. RefSeq lists it as uncharacterized. Lineage: Eukaryota; Metazoa; Chordata; Mammalia; Artiodactyla; Camelidae. The record is from RefSeq and is a predicted model, not a curated record. The transcript is spliced from 3 exons.
CUGAGUGGAGCUAUUUUGACUUAAUCUUCCCAGGCCUCGGUUUCACCCGCCGUCUGAUGGGAUCUUGAGGGUGAUGGUGCAGGUGAGGCGCAGGGGGCACCUUGCCGCAGGCACUGGGCUUCGGCCGGGUCCCCGCUUCCCUUCGCAUGAGCAGCACCUGCGGCUCUGAGAGCCGGGAGCCCGGUGACUGAAGACAUUGAACACUGACACUGAUGCCAAGAAGCCUUCUGCAGGUCGCCAGUGACCAUGGGAAGAAAUGCAACCAAGACUCACCCAAGGGGAUUCAGAUCCAAGAGAGGUCUGAGGAGAAGGGCAGACACGUGGAAUCGCGCUUUCGUUCCCACGAGCAGCUCGCCCACUUCCAACCCAUCCGGGAGCCCCUUGCCCCUCCGAGGUGCUGGUGCCCGCAGGAUACCCCGUGUGCUCCGUGUCCCCGGACAUCUGUCUGGAACGUGGCGGCUCCUUGGACAGUGGGUGGGAGCACGCUCUGGCCCGCGGCCACUCUAGGGGAUGAAAGCCGGUGUAAAUGCUGCUGAACUAA